This 253-nucleotide ribosomal RNA is filed under the name uncultured bacterium. RNAcentral describes it as "partial 16S ribosomal RNA". It matches the Rfam family "Bacterial small subunit ribosomal RNA", at positions 524 to 776 of the family's 1533-position model. The record is from RNAcentral.
UACGUAGGGGGCUAGCGUUGUCCGGAUUUAUUGGGCGUAAAGAGCGUGUAGGCGGCCAGGUAGGUCUGGUGUGAAAACUCGAGGCUUAACCUUGAGAUGUCAUCGGAAACCAUUUGGCUAGAGUCCGGAAGAGGAAGGUGGAAUUCCUGAUGUAGCGGUGAAAUGCGCAGAUAUCAGGAAGAACACCAAUGGCGAAAGCAGCUUUCUGGGACGGUACUGACGCUGAGACGCGAAAGCGUGGGGAGCGAACAGG